RNAcentral lists this ribosomal RNA (301 nucleotides) under uncultured bacterium. RNAcentral describes it as "partial 16S ribosomal RNA". It matches the Rfam family "Bacterial small subunit ribosomal RNA", at positions 509 to 807 of the family's 1533-position model. The record is from RNAcentral.
CAGUCGCCGCGGUAAUACGAAGGGUGCAAGCGUUAAUCGGAAUUACUGGGCGUAAAGCGUGCGUAGGCGGUGAGUUAAGUCUGCUGUGAAAUCCCCGGGCUCAACCUGGGAAUGGCAAUGGAUACUGGCAAGCUAGAGUGUGUCAGAGGAUGGUGGAAUUCCCGGUGUAGCGGUGAAAUGCGUAGAGAUCGGGAGGAACAUCAGUGGCGAAGGCGGCCAUCUGGGACAACACUGACGCUGAGGCACGAAAGCGUGGGGAGCAAACAGGAUUAGAUACCCCAGUAGUCCCUGUCUCUUAUAC